This 642-nucleotide ribosomal RNA is filed under the name uncultured bacterium. RNAcentral's name for it is "bacterial SSU rRNA". It matches the Rfam family "Bacterial small subunit ribosomal RNA", at positions 8 to 633 of the family's 1533-position model. The record is from RNAcentral.
AGAGUUUGAUCAUGGCUCAGAUUGAACGCUGGCGGCAUGCUUUACACAUGCAAGUCGAGCGGCAACGCGGGACUCAGGCAACUGAGCCCUGGCGGCGAGCGGCGGACGGGUGAGUAAUGCAUCGGAACGUAUCCCGUAGUGGGGGACAACCCAGCGAAAGCUGGGCUAAUACCGCAUAUGCUCUACGGAGGAAAGUGGGGGACCUGCAAGGGCCUCACGCUAUGGGAGCGGCCGAUGUCCGAUUAGCUAGUUGGUGGGGUAAAGGCUUACCAAGGCGACGAUCGGUAGCUGGUCUGAGAGGAUGAUCAGCCACACUGGGACUGAGACACGGCCCAGACUCCUACGGGAGGCAGCAGUGGGGAAUUUUGGACAAUGGGGGCAACCCUGAUCCAGCCAUGCCGCGUGCGGGAAGAAGGCCUUCGGGUUGUAAACCGCUUUUGGUCGGGAAGAAAAGGCAGUCUCUAACAGGGGCUGUUCUUGACGGUACCGGCAGAAUAAGCACCGGCUAACUACGUGCCAGCAGCCGCGGUAAUACGUAGGGUGCGAGCGUUAAUCGGAAUUACUGGGCGUAAAGCGUGCGCAGGCGGUUUGUUAAGUCUGAUGUGAAAGCCCCGGGCUCAACCUGGGAAUGGCAUUGGAAAC